RNAcentral lists this ribosomal RNA (335 nucleotides) under Bioculus comondae. RNAcentral describes it as "partial 12S ribosomal RNA". The record is from RNAcentral. Lineage: Eukaryota; Metazoa; Arthropoda; Arachnida; Scorpiones; Diplocentridae.
AAAAAUAUUAUAAAUUAAGUAGUAAAGAAAUUUCCGAAACUUAAAGAAUUUGGCGGUGUUUUAAAUAAUUGGAGGAACCUGUUAUUUAAUUGAAAAUCCACAACACAUCUAACCUUAUUUUUGUUUGUAUAUCGUCAUUCAUAGAUUAUAUUUAAAAACCUAUAAUCAAACUCAAUAAAAUUAUAGACAUUAGAUCAAGGUGCAGCACAAUAAGGGUAUAAUGGGUUACAAUAUUUUAAAAAUAUACGAAUAAGCAAAAGAAAUAAUAAAUUGAAGGAGGAUUCAAAAGUAAUAUGGAAAUAAAGAAUCCUUUUGAAUUAAAACUUAAAACAUGC